This 17-nucleotide microRNA is filed under the name Corchorus olitorius. Its description in RNAcentral is "hsa-miR-12". The record is from RNAcentral. Lineage: Eukaryota; Viridiplantae; Streptophyta; Magnoliopsida; Malvales; Malvaceae.
UCAUUUUGCUUCUUUUU